GACGAACGCUGGCGGCGUGCUUAACACAUGCAAGUCGAACGGUGAAGGGACCAGCUUGCUGGUUCUGGAUGAGUGGCGAACGGGUGAGUAACACGUGAGUAACCUGCCCCCUUCUUCUGGAUAACCGCAUGAAAGUGUGGCUAAUACGGGAUAUUCUGGGUCUGUCGCAUGGCGGGCCCGGGAAAGAUAUUGCUUCGGUGGGGGAUGGGCUCGCGGCCUAUCAGCUUGUUGGUGGGGUGAUGGCCUACCAAGGCGGGGACGGGUAGCCGGCCUGGGAGGGGGGACGGUCACACUGGGACUGAGACACGGCCCAGACUCCUACGGGAGGCAGCAGUGGGGAAUAUUGCACAAUGGGCGCGAGCCUGAUGCAGCGACGCCGCGUGAGGGAUGGAGGCCUUCGGGGUGUAAACCUCUUUCGCCAGUGAAGCAGGCCUGCUCCUUGUGGGUGGGUUGACGGUAGCUGGAUAAGAAGCGCCGGCUAACUACGUG
Molecule: ribosomal RNA, 489 nt
Filed under: uncultured bacterium
Lineage: Bacteria
Description: partial 16S ribosomal RNA
Rfam family: Bacterial small subunit ribosomal RNA
Source: RNAcentral